AUGAACUACAAGGCGCACCUCGCCCACCGCUCCCAGGUGCUCCGCUGCCUGCGUGAUCUCGCCGUCGCCAAGGCCAAGCUCAAGGAGCUCAGGUCCCUCUUCUACAACCUAUCCUACAGGCGCCGCCUCUCGCAUGACCACGAGGAGUGCCAGAGGUUCUCCGAGAAGAUCAUUGUCCUGCUGCUCACUGUCGAUGCGCUCGAGUUACUCAUUAAUUCCUGCAAAAACCUGUAG
RNAcentral lists this ribosomal RNA (234 nucleotides) under Triticum aestivum (bread wheat). RNAcentral describes it as "partial small subunit ribosomal RNA". Lineage: Eukaryota; Viridiplantae; Streptophyta; Magnoliopsida; Poales; Poaceae. The record is from RNAcentral.